RNAcentral lists this long non-coding RNA (343 nucleotides) under Phoenix dactylifera (date palm). Its description in RNAcentral is "long non-coding RNA (PDAC_LNC005930)". Lineage: Eukaryota; Viridiplantae; Streptophyta; Magnoliopsida; Arecales; Arecaceae. The record is from RNAcentral.
AUCCCGCACCGCGCCCCCCCUCUUCCGGAACCGAGAGCCCCAGCAUCACGCGUCCGUGAAUGGCAUCUCCGGUGAUCCCGCAAUGUCCCAGCUUCAUUCCAUGGCAGCCUCCGUGUCCGGACAUCCCGCAACCAGCCGGGAAAUGCGCGGCAUUCAACCUCCAGCCCGUGAUCUAGCACGGAUUGACGCCCUCCGCCCCAUCCAAGCCGUGAUCGGACUCCCAAAAAUCGGAUCCCCCAAGCAUUACGUCCGCCCACUGCAUCUCCUCCCUUCCGAUUUCAAGCAUCCCAGCUCCUCCCAGCAUCACGCGACCAUGAAUGGUGUCCUCCCGAGAUCCCGCGUG